GUGAGGACUAUUCGCUUCCUGAACCAGACGUAUAGAGGGAAAGUCUGCAAGAACUGACCUCUGAUUCAGUGGAGCACAGCACAGUGGGCUCUGGGAUAAUGAUCAGCCUUGAGGGGAAGAUUCACCUUGAACUAACAUCUAUUACCAGUCUUCCUCACUUUCUUUUUCUUUUUAAUUUUCUCCCCAAAGUCCCAGUACAUAGUUAUAUAUCCUAGGUGUAGGUCAUUGUAGUUCUACGUCAGCCGCUGCCACAGCAUGGCAACCGACAGACGGGUGGUGUGGUUCUGCGAGCAGGAAGUGAACCUGGGCUGCUGAAGUGAUUACUCCUGAGCUGACAUCUGUGCCAGUCUUCCUCUACUUUGUAUGUGGGACGCCUCCACAGCAUGGCUGAUGAGUGGAGUAGGUCUGCACCUGGGAUCCAAACCUGCAGACCUGGGCCACUGAAGCAGAACGUGCAGAACCUUAACCACUUGGCCACGGGGCCAGCCAACUAGUUUUGUAACAGUUCCCACAGGGCUGGGACUCAGACCUCUGAGGAGGGGGUGCUAGCCAGCUGGUGUUGGUGUCUCCAAGACAGCACAAUGAAGCUUGUUCUGUCUGUGUUAGAAAAACUGCCAGCUGGAGUCUACUGUUGCUACUGGAAUGAACGUCUCUGCUGGGCUGAAGAUCAAGGCUGGGUGAUACUGGCAGGAACUGGAGGCAAACAGGAAAUCCAGAGAAAGCAAACAGGAAGGAGGCAGUCUCUUCUUCCUUCCCGGACUCUGAGUUUUCCUCUAGAGCUCCUAUGGGCAGAACCUAAGAGGGAGCCGUUUGGCAAAGCAGAAGCCCCAGCCUCAGCCCCAGUAUUACAGAGCAGAGAGCAGCAGAGCGGGGUUGAAGCUAGAAGCAAUAACUCAAUAACUGGCUCUGUGAAGUGUCCCGGGGUUAGGGAUAGUGAGCAGCCAUUACCACCCUUUGCCCCUUCCCAGUGCCCCUUCUGAUCUAUUCUCCACCCUUCUCCAUCUGCUUGGUGGCCUAGGCUGUUGAUCUGUGUGAUAUACAACAGGCUGUCUGGCUUUCCAACUGCUGGUGGUGAGCACCCAUAAAAGAUGGGAAGAAAGGAGGAG
RNAcentral lists this long non-coding RNA (1106 nucleotides) under Equus caballus (horse). RNAcentral's name for it is "lncRNA (ENSECAG00000044032.1)". Lineage: Eukaryota; Metazoa; Chordata; Mammalia; Perissodactyla; Equidae. The record is from RNAcentral.